GUAUUAAACCUAGACUUUUGUCUAAAUAUAACAAUAUAUUUCACUAUUUCGUACUACCAGGGAAUACAUUUUAAUAUGUAUAAAAAACCAACCACUAUUCCAGUAGAUAAGACAAUCGCGUCAUCAAUAUUGGCUUUUUUUCAUACCAGGAAAUGUACGAAGAAAAACACAGAAUAUUAUUAAAAGUUGAUAUUUUCUGGGGCAUCCCUUUUGCUUAACAACGUCAUAUAAACGUUUUGACAUAUUUUGUAUAAGUUUUCUUGUGUAGGAAACAGGGAUAUUACUCCACUCUUCUUGUAGUCUAUUUUUCUGACCUUGGGCAGAAGAGAUUGAGUAUUCUCGCACAUGGCGGACUAUUUAUCCCAUAUAUUUUUGAUGAGGCCAUGCCUGGCCAAAGUACUUUACCCUUUUCCCAAAUCACUAGUCUUGAAUCCGGUGAAAAAUAUGUGAUGAAAUGGAUGGUUCGUCCUAUUACAUUUGUGAAUUGUGAACAAAGAAGAAAUUUUGAUGAAGUCUGUACAUUUCCAGCCCAAUGUAUCACAACUUUCUUUCGUGCGCGUUCAUUGAAGAGGAGAACAAUGACAUCCGCGACCCUCUAGCGCCACGUCAUAGCAAAGUAAAUUUGGCAUUGGUGAAUAAAAAGGUCGCUGGCGUAUUCCACACGGAAAACGAAAGAGCUGCUAUAGCCCAAAGAAGCUUCGAAGACUCGCAAAAGAUGGUGUAGCUCUUUACCACAUUUGCCUCCAUUACAAAGUGACAGGAGAUUAUUUGAAUUCUACAGCACUCCAGGCGAUCUAUAAAGAUGAUGGUGUUGAAGUUUGUGUGGAGGCACCAUGAUAGACGCAGUGGAGUCAACCAGUUAGAGGACGGCCGACACAAUUUA
Glossina fuscipes is the source of this 883-nucleotide long non-coding RNA. RefSeq lists it as uncharacterized. The transcript has 3 exons. The record is from RefSeq and is a predicted model, not a curated record. NCBI's taxonomy places the organism in Eukaryota, Metazoa, Arthropoda, Insecta, Diptera, Glossinidae.